UAGGUACCGUCAUCACAAUAAAUAUUACCUAUUGCUUAUUCUUCCCUACUUAUCGAACUUUACAACCCGAAGGCCUUCAUCGUUCACGCGGCGUCGCUGCGUCAAGCUUUCGCUCAUUGCGCAAGAUUCUUAA
Molecule: ribosomal RNA, 133 nt
Filed under: uncultured bacterium
Lineage: Bacteria
Description: partial 16S ribosomal RNA
Source: RNAcentral